Ribosomal RNA from Panthera pardus (leopard), 116 nucleotides. The record is from Ensembl. Lineage: Eukaryota; Metazoa; Chordata; Mammalia; Carnivora; Felidae.
GUCUACAGCCGCACCACCCAGAAUGCGCCCAAUCUCAGCUGAUCUCUGAAGUCAAGCAGGGUUGGGCCUGGUUAAUACUUGCACGGGAGAAAGUGGGAAAUGAGAUAGGGAAGGAA